ACCUGGCAUGGUGGCAUGUGCCUGUAGUCCCAGCUACUCGGGAGGCUGACGUGGGAGGAUCGCUUGAGUCCAAGAGUUCUGGGCUGUAGUGCGCUAUGCCAAUCAGGUGUCUGCAUUAAGUUUAGCAUCAAUAUGGUGACCUCUCGGGAGCAGGGGACCACCAGGUUGCCUAACGAGGGGUGAAUCGGCCCAGGUCAGAAAUGGAGCAGGUCAAAACUCCCAUGCUGAUCAGUAAUGGGAUCGCGCCUGUGACUAGCCACUGCACUCCAGCCUGGGCAACAUAGUGAGACCCCAUUCCU
RNAcentral lists this signal recognition particle RNA (299 nucleotides) under Saimiri boliviensis boliviensis (Bolivian squirrel monkey). RNAcentral's name for it is "Metazoan signal recognition particle RNA (ENSSBOG00000000385.1)". It matches the Rfam family "Metazoan signal recognition particle RNA". Rfam says of the family: The signal recognition particle (SRP) is a universally conserved ribonucleoprotein. It is involved in the co-translational targeting of proteins to membranes. The record is from Rfam by way of RNAcentral. Lineage: Eukaryota; Metazoa; Chordata; Mammalia; Primates; Cebidae.